This 497-nucleotide ribosomal RNA is filed under the name uncultured bacterium. RNAcentral describes it as "partial 16S ribosomal RNA". It matches the Rfam family "Bacterial small subunit ribosomal RNA", at positions 28 to 507 of the family's 1533-position model. The record is from RNAcentral.
GAUGAACGCUGGCGGCGUGCCUAAUACAUGCAAGUCGAGCGAACAGACGAGGAGCUUGCUCCUCUGACGUUAGCGGCGGACGGGUGAGUAACACGUGGAUAACCUACCUAUAAGACUGGGAUAACUUCGGGAAACCGGAGCUAAUACCGGAUAAUAUAUUGAACCGCAUGGUUCAAUAGUGAAAGACGGUUUUGUUGUCACUUAUAGAUGGAUCCGCGCCGCAUUAGCUAGUUGGUAAGGUAACGGCUUACCAAGGCAACGAUGCGUAGCCGACCUGAGAGGGUGAGCGGUCACACUGGAACUGAGACACGGUCCAGACUCCUACGGGAGGCAGCAGUAGGGAAUCUUCCGCAAUGGGCGAAAGCCUGACGGAGCAACGCCGCGUGAGUGAUGAAGGUCUUCGGAUCGUAAAACUCUGUUAUUAGGGAAGAACAAAUGUGUAAGUAACUAUGCACGUCUUGACGGUACCUAAUCAGAAAGCCACGGCUAACUACGUG